GGUGGUUGUAGUGUUUUGUCCUACUGACAUAGUUUGAAUAUAUGUUCCCAUCAAAUCUCAUGUUGAAUUGUAAUCCCCAGUGCUGGAGGUGGGGCCUGGUGGGAAGGGUUUG
Long non-coding RNA from Sapajus apella (tufted capuchin), 112 nucleotides. RefSeq lists it as uncharacterized. The transcript is spliced from 3 exons. Lineage: Eukaryota; Metazoa; Chordata; Mammalia; Primates; Cebidae. The record is from RefSeq and is a predicted model, not a curated record.